CUGGGCUCUCCCACUCCAGGCAGUGCUCUUAGGACGAGGCCACAGUGUUGAGAAAGGGGACACCAGACUUGGAGUCAGAAGACCUG
This 86-nucleotide microRNA precursor is filed under the name Octodon degus (degu). RNAcentral's name for it is "miRNA (ENSODEG00000022410.1)". Lineage: Eukaryota; Metazoa; Chordata; Mammalia; Rodentia; Octodontidae. The record is from RNAcentral.